This 280-nucleotide ribosomal RNA is filed under the name uncultured Bacteroides sp. RNAcentral's name for it is "partial 16S ribosomal RNA". It matches the Rfam family "Bacterial small subunit ribosomal RNA", at positions 70 to 339 of the family's 1533-position model. The record is from RNAcentral. Lineage: Bacteria; Pseudomonadati; Bacteroidota; Bacteroidia; Bacteroidales; Bacteroidaceae.
CAUCAGGAAGAAAGCUUGCUUUCUUUGCUGGCGACCGGCGCACGGGUGAGUAACACGUAUCCAACCUGCCGUCUACUCUUGGACAGCCUUCUGAAAGGAAGAUUAAUACAAGAUGGCAUCAUGAGUAAGCAUUUUCGCAUGAUUAAAGGUUUACCGGUGUAAGAUGGGGAUGCGUUCCAUUAGAUAGUAGGCGGGGUAACGGCCCCACCUAGUCUUCGAUGGAUAGGGGUUCUGAGAGGAAGGUCCCCACAUUGGAACUGAGACCACGGUCCCAAACUCC